RNAcentral lists this long non-coding RNA (446 nucleotides) under Fukomys damarensis (Damara mole-rat). RNAcentral describes it as "lncRNA (ENSFDAG00000021632.1)". Lineage: Eukaryota; Metazoa; Chordata; Mammalia; Rodentia; Bathyergidae. The record is from RNAcentral.
CAGGCUCCUCUACACAACUUGCAAAAUCUCUCCCUGAAUUCAAGCAGAUCUCAGGGUCCUUAGAGACAUAUUGGCCCAGGAUUUCUCGAUUAACCCAUGCAAGAAAGGAUUGUUAUAAUGUUCCUGCCAAAAACUCUUGCAGGGUUAAAUCUGUAUCUGAGACCAUCUGAAAGCACAAGCUACAGGCCAACAGUAUGAUUGACACAACUGUAUAUGUGGUGAAAUAUGAUCGAUACAUACCAGACUUAUGCCACAUCUUUUACGGUUGACCAGGUACAGGCAAAAUGCAAUUUAAGGUGUGAACCUUGAAAGAAUAGUGAACAAAUGACUUUUAUUUAACAAUUUCUUAUAAUACGUAUUGGCAUGUAAAAAUGUAAGAAGCUCCAAAUAUGUAUUUUCCAAGCAAUUUUUCAAGUCAGAAAUGAAAAUUUUGCAUUUGGAUUUAG